CGUCCGCGACAGGACUCGAACCUGUAAUCUUCUGAUCCGAAGUCAGACGCCUUAUACAUUAGGCCGAAGAC
RNAcentral lists this transfer RNA (71 nucleotides) under Cordylochernes scorpioides. Its description in RNAcentral is "tRNA-Arg". Lineage: Eukaryota; Metazoa; Arthropoda; Arachnida; Pseudoscorpiones; Chernetidae. The record is from RNAcentral.